Molecule: long non-coding RNA, 3855 nt
Organism: Triticum aestivum (bread wheat)
Lineage: Eukaryota; Viridiplantae; Streptophyta; Magnoliopsida; Poales; Poaceae
Exons: 5
Source: RefSeq, a predicted model, not a curated record
CAUCCGAUGUACUGUUCAGGUCGAUCGAUGGAUAACACCUUCCCAGGGAAGAUACGGAUGUGAAGAGAAAAAGAAACUGGCCAACUUCCUCACGCGCGCAACCUCGCCUCUCGUCUCUCUCGCCCACAGCUUCCUCCGGCGGCAGCUGCCCCGAGCGCCUGGGCCUGGCCAUUGGAGCUCCAUCUCCCCCGAGCUUUUCUAUCUGCAUCUCGGAGCACACGGGAGAGAGGAACCGUGCUCGUUUCCAGGACGACAAGGCAGAUGAGGGCGAUGGGUGCGAGGCAAAGAGGGGCGUUGGUUGCAUCUGGUGAGAGGGGAGGGCGAGAUGCUGAGAUCCAGCUCCUCGCCGCGGGACGCGCCGACCUCGCCGCCGCCGUCGAGUCCAACGGUGGGUGGUUGUGGCUCUCCCUCGGAUGGUCUUCUAACGAUGCGCAGCCGUCGAGCGGCCCGGGCGUGCACCCUGACUAUCCGCCCGAGGUGCGUGCUUCUGGCCUAGCACCGACCGCCUUCAACCACGUCGUCGCCACCUAUAAGGUAUGUGCUUGUGUACUUCUGACUCUCGACUAAUUGAUGAACAUGGUACAAUUUUUUUCAGGAACUUUUGUUGGGUUGAGUUUUAUGUACGAAACAAGUAUGUGUCAUGAACUAACUUCAGAUUUUUGGUUUAGAAUGACGAGCAUAACUAUCCAUGGUGGUAUAUAUAUAUAGGCAGUGGCUCUGUCCGGCCCGGUGUGGCAUAUGCAGUCGUCCGUGUUGUGUGCUCUCGACUGCAAUGCGUGUGGCGUGCGUGCGAAAUGUGGGCCGGCCGACGUGCGUCUGUGUUCAUGUGUGUGGCGCUAUACUGGCAGAGGAAGCGGGCAGUUGCCGGCAGAGGAGGUUCAGGAUUAGUAUGGCACGAUUAGGAUUGUUCACUUGAUUUGUUUGUUGUUUGGUCUGGAUUAGUACAGCAAUGCACUGAUAUUUGUUUUAUGGUGCAGGAACUUCAAGACAACAAGGGGCAUCAGGCUCUACACAUUCAUCUUUGAUUUUCUCCCCAAAUCUGAAAUUGUUGGACCCCUAAAUUUUAAUCCCCUUGAGAAAGCAAGAGUAUUCAUGGAAUAUGGUCUAUUGAUGUUGACAAAUUUUAUUACAGCUGGGACUGGCAAAGUAAGUGCAGCGCUCACCAUCGCACAUAUAUUCAGGGAAAAAUCAAACUUCAGUCAGAAGAAGAUGACCAGGCAGGAGCUAUAUCCCUCUUGAAAGUUCAGAUCCUGACUUUUAUUGAUGGGAAGAGUUUAAGUGUGGGAUUUAUGUUACCAAAUCCAUUUGAUCUACUGUUUGGCGCUGAUUCAAAUGCUCUUGAUUUGGCUCUCCAUUUGUUAUUUGCAUUAUGUACCCCAUGCUAAUGAAAGGUAAGCUCGACAAACAAAUUAGUGUAGAUCCCUGUUUUCUGGGUAAUUGGUAUCAUUUUGUGAGUCAUUUGCCUUUCAGAGUUAGUGUGAUGUAGAGUACUGGGUCUUGUACAUUGUUACUGUUUCAGAUUUUGUAACUUACAGAAGAGACGAGUAAGGCUGGUAAUUAAGAACUUCCUGCAAAGAACUAACGUUUUAAGUUGGAGAGGGAUGCCUACACGCCUGAUUUAAUAAUAGCAACAUUUGCAAGGAUGCAAAGGAUUGGUUUCUAUGUUGUUCCCUUUCUUUCUUUACACAAAUAACAAUCUGGUGGUUCUCUUGUGGAGGGAAAACUCUACAUGGUACGUAAGGCGAGGUCUGGGCAUACAGGCUAUCAUUCUAUUUGUUUUUAGAAGUUAUUCAGUUGAAAAACCUUUAUGCUUGCGGUUGGCACAUCUCCUAUCAUCAGCUUAAGAAGGUAUUUACUACAGCUAGAACUUAUUAUAAAUAUUUUCUUAGAGGUUGAAACGUCUAUGCACAUGAACAUAAAAAAAUUCUAGAUGCAUCUCUUUUAGUUUUGAUUCUGCCAGCUUUCAGGGAAAUAAACAAUUUUUCUUAGAGGUUGAUACUUUAUUUUACAUGUGUGGUUAGAACUUAGAACUAACAAUUUAAGAUAGUACCAAUGCUGAGUGAACAUGUAGUUGCUGUAUUAGUUUCUUCUUUUCCCCCAUCGAUUUGCAGGUCGCUAAAGAGAAGCCUGCUGAGGUUUUCUCAAACUAAGGUCAAGUAUGCUCCUAGACUCCUUGAUAUUUAAUAUCGGUUGUGAUUAGUUCGUAUGUGUUUUUAUAUAUCUUGAAAUAAAAUAAGCAACUUGUUUUUUAAUGACUAAAAAUGGUGUAUGUGGAAUCCAUCAUCUUAAAAAGUAUCCAGGAUAAUUCAUAUAUGUUCGAUAACUUGAAUCCAGUAAGAGCUAAUACUCAUUAUGUUCUUUUUGUAGCAUAUUGGAUUGGACAGGGUGCUGUUUUGUUCGAAAGAUUGGAUUGGUGAGGGUAUUUGGUUUUAUGAUGGCUAGGUUGAUCAAAAUCACAUGGUCUUUUUUAUAUUGUGAGAAGAAAAAAACACCGGAACAGCUGAUUGGCCAUACCACAUUUUUAUCUGUUCUGCAUAUUUCACUCUUUAUGCAUUUCUGCGGGUUCAUUUGGUAUUUUUCUUCAGGCUAAAUGUUUGCAGACAGGGGAAACUGUUGCUAUUAAGAUGGUUUUUCAGGAUAAGCACUACAAGAACCGUGAGCUUCAGACCAAACGCCUACUUGACCACCCAAAUGUUGUAGGUCUAAAGCAUGGUUUCUUUUCCAAAACUGAGAAGGAUGAGCUCUUUCUGAACCUGGUUCUGGAGUAUGUACAUCACAUUGUCGCGCUACAUCCUUAACUCUCGCCCGAGCGGUGGUGCUGUCGCAACCUUUGCAAAUACUCUGAUAAUUAGGUGGUGAUCAAUUGCUGAUGGCUCUCUGUAGUGGCUUGGUGGUGGGAAGGAAUAGGGCGGUGGAGACAAGGCAGAGAGUGGGUGCUUCCCGCACUCGCCAGGCCAUCCGUGAUGCAUCUAAUAUGUUAGCAGGUUUGCGCUGCGCUGGUGACUAUCAUAUGUUUGUUAAAAUGCAUUUCCUUGUCAGUUUUGUAUGUUUAAUUUUUUUGAGCUGUAGUUACCACACAAAAGUUAUAAACUGAGAUGCGGAGAUUACAAUAUUGACCUAGGUUCAGUUUAGUCUAUUACGUGAUCUGACAUUGUUAUCCAUGAUUUCCCUCAUUUCUUUGUUUUGGCACAUGUUCAUUAACUAGAUUAUAGCCUAAUUCAGGUUUUUUGUGCAUUUAGUUCUAGAUUGUUUUGAUCUGAGUAAGCGACGCCUAGCUGUUCAUUGAUUUCUUGGCAUUGUUUACUAUCUCAAUCCAUGCCUGAUACUGAAUCUGAACGUUUCCAUCUCUAGUACCACGACACGACAUUGGCGGUGGCAUCUUGGGGAAGAAGGGGAUGACAAUGGCUUAGAGAGGAAGAUCACAAUUGACAACUUGCAGCGUAGGCUGACAAUGCUACCGUGGAUACUCUCCUGCACUAGCUAUUCAGUGACAAAAAGAAGUCAGCACAACAAGAGAAGUCGGAGAAGCAAUCGAAGAAAGGAUGAAAACAAAAGAAAGAGAAAGUUGCAUCUGUUCCUGAAAGGAGAACACUCGAUUACUUAAUGAACAUUGGUUUGAUUUUGUUUCAGGAGAACACUGGGUGUUCAUCUGAGUCUGCCAUGGCCACCAGUAGCGAUAACAAAGUUGCUGAUAUGGAGAUGCUCUCCUGUCAUGUAUGCUAUGAUCCAGACCGCCUUCCCUGACUUUUGAACAACUUGUGAUGUAAUGUAUCAUCUACCUGGCUAUCAAGUUGAGUGCUACUCCCGACAGUCACAUGUAAUGGACUUCAUUUUCUUAUGUUAUUUAUGAAUAGC